Long non-coding RNA from Camelus dromedarius (Arabian camel), 1192 nucleotides. RefSeq lists it as uncharacterized. The transcript has 8 exons. NCBI's taxonomy places the organism in Eukaryota, Metazoa, Chordata, Mammalia, Artiodactyla, Camelidae. The record is from RefSeq and is a predicted model, not a curated record.
CGGCGGCGGCGCGGGCGGGAGCCUAGGGCGCGGGGGCCAGCGGCGGGUCGCGCCGGGCCAAGGGGAGGCUCCUGCAGUCCCGGUGGCAGUUGGUCCAGUAGUUUCGGACGCCCCAGCUUCGGCUCGGCGGAGAGCGAGUCUGCGUGAAUGACAAGCGAGCAAGCGAGGCUGUGCGUGCGCGCGUGAGAAAUACAGCCUGAAGGACAAAGCUGCUGAGUUCUAGAAAGAGAUAACUUAAAUGUUUAUGUCUGGCUGGAGAGGAACAAUCAGCAGCCUGUGCUUUCUCAGCAAUCCUGGCUUCUCCUCAGAGGAUCCUUAGCUCUGUAGCUGAUGGACUAAGAGAUUGCUACAGUGAUUUUGCCUGGCUUGUACCGGUUCACACCUGGGGCUGGGAGCAGGCACAACCCCACAAACUGAAGCACAGCCUGGAAAGGGCACCUCACCACCUCUGUUGGAGGAUUAGAUCAGGCCAAUCGUUGACAUCUGGAUUCAGUUGGUUAAGUGAACAUUCAUUACAGCAUUAAAGGAGCUCUCUUUGUGCCAUACCUGGAAACCAAAAGAUGAAUAAAAGAAGCCUUUGCUCUCAUAAGGUACAGUGAGACAGAGAUGAGGAAGAGAGUCUGCCAAGCACUAGGAAACAAUAUUGAAUGAGCACCUUGAGGAAAUUGCAAAGCAGUUUCUACUUUUAUCAGGAUUUCCAAUUCCAGGUAGAGAUGUGAAGGAGGGAUGAAAGGGAAGCCAGCAGAGAUCCCUAACAGGAUGUGGUAGACCUACAGGGAACCACAACCAUCCCAUGGAGAUCUGAAGAUCAAAGAGAGAGGACACUUUACAGGGGCUCAACUCAGAGAAUGGGUAUCCAGUUAUUCCGGCACAUUUAUUGAAAAGAUUUCAUUCCCCAAUGAAAUUUGGCCCUGGUCCUGAGUUCAAUUUGAAGAUCUGAGUGGCUACUUUUGAGGGAUCAACAUUGCUGUACAUCAAAAACAGUAAGUGCUGUGACACUACCUUGAGUCAAGCAGUGAUGAGGGUGAAGUAUAUUUAAUUCAAAUUUCAGCUAAGUUUGAAGAGGCAAUGAGUAAAUAUUGGUCAAGAGAGGUCAAUGCAGCAUCUCUCCUGUGGAAGAAAGAACUGGAGAUUAUUUUCGAGUUCUAUGCAAGGGAAGGGCAGUGAGCAGAUUUGUAGUUAUAACUUGAGG